This 503-nucleotide ribosomal RNA is filed under the name Pyratula zonata. RNAcentral's name for it is "partial 16S ribosomal RNA". The stretch from base 1 to 158 matches the Rfam family "Archaeal large subunit ribosomal RNA", at positions 1889 to 2096 of the family's 2987-position model. The record is from RNAcentral. Lineage: Eukaryota; Metazoa; Arthropoda; Insecta; Diptera; Keroplatidae.
CACCUGUUAUCAAAAACAUGUCUUUUGAGUUUAAUAUAAAGUCUAACCUGCCCAUUGAAAUUUUAAAAGGCCGCAGUAUUUUGACUGUGCAAAGGUAGCAUAAUCAUUAGUUUUUUAAUUGAAAGCUUGUAUGAAUGGUUGAAUGAGAUAUUAACUGUUUCAUAAAAAUUUUUAUAGAAUUUAAUUUUUUAGUUAAAAAGCUAAAAUAUUUUUAGAGGACGAGAAGACCCUAUAAAGUUUAAUAAUUUAAUAAAAAUAAUUUUUUUAGAAUAAUUUAUAUUUUUUUUAUUAAAUUAUUUUAUUGGGGUGAUAAUAAAAUUUAAAAAACUUUUAUUUUUAAUUUACAUUGAUUUAUGAAUUUAUGAUCCAAUUUUAUUGAUUAAAAAAUUAAAUUACUUUAGGGAUAACAGCAUAAUUUUUUUUUAAAGUUCAUAUUAAUGAAAAAGAUUGUGACCUCGAUGUUGGAUUAAAAUUAUUUUUAGGUGUAGAAGGCUUAAAUUAAU